AUGCCAACGGACUUGUCCGUUGGUGACUGCCUUCCGAGACCGCGUACGGCUCAUUAAAUCGGUAGUAAACCUUCGCGGUACGUUCCCCAACGGAUCGUCUCGGGCGCCGUCAGGUCGGGGUCAAACUCGGCAUGGCGACGUCCUAUGGGAAGGUUCGUUGGGGCAUACGGAUAUCCAUGGGAAUUCUAAGGCUAAUACGGGAGGGAAAUAUUCCGACCCCAGCGACGGGUCUCCGAUCGAAAGGCAACGGACGGUCGGAGGUUCGUCAUGGGGACGGGAGCGUUCGUCUUAAUUCUAACCUUGGGGCCCAACGAACUAGCUUCGCUAGGGAAACCUCUCGGGGCGAAUCCUGACGAACUCUAUGCUGGUCGCAUAGGUAUACCUCUCGUAGGUAUGGCGACGGAUCGUAAGGGCUUCCGACUCAUCAGCCAUUGUUGGUACCUUAUUGGUUUACCAAGGCCUCGACGGGUGACGGAGGAUUGGGGUUUGAUCCCGGAGAGGGAGCCUGAGAGAUGGCUACCACUUCUAAGGAAGGCAGCAGGCGCGCAAAUUACCCAUUGCCAGUCCGGCGAGGUAGUGACGACUAAUAACGACGUGGACUCUCGUUGAGGGUCCACGAUCGGAAUGAGUCCGUCGUAGAUAAUCGAACGAGUAACGAUUGGAGGAAAAGUCUGGUGCCAGCACCCGCGGUAANUCCAGCUCCGAUAGCGUAUACUAAAGUUGCUGCAGUUAAAAAGCUCGUAGUCCGGCACGAAUCUUUCGGUUUAAGGUCUCCCACCGCCCUGAGCGGUGUCGCAGACUACCAAACAUACGAUCGUCGGGGGGGUCCGUUACGGACCGGAGGGGAGGCGUUUCGCACGUCGACCCGACGGACCAUUCCGUAACGGACCGUAAAACCCCCAGCGAUCUGCACCUGGAGCAAAUUAGGGUGUUCAAAGCAGGUCGCUCUUCGGAGCGCCUUGAAUAGGUCAGCGUGGGACGCAAUCCGGCACCCAUAGUGCCUCUCUCCUCAGGUACGGACGGUUAACCCCGUUCGUGCCCUAGCGUAGCUUGACCCCACGGACGGAUCGGCAACGGUUCGUCCGGAAGGGUGGUCCCAAGGUGGGUAUUCUAUAGGGAACAAUCGAUAGGGGCGGUCGGUGGCAUCGGUAUUCAGCCGUCAGAGGUGAAAUUCUUGGACCGGCCGAAGACCACCGAGAGCGAAAGCACUUGCCAAGGACGCCUCUCUUGAUCAAGAACGAAAGUCGGGGGAUCGAAGAUGAUCAGAUACCGUCGUAGUCCCGACCACAAACGAUGCCAANCAGGGAUCGGAAGGCGUCGCACCGACGGCCCUUCCGGCACCCCCAGGGAAACCUCGAGUUUUUGGGUUCCGGGGGGAGUAUGGUCGCAAGGCUGAAACUUAAAGGAAUUGACGGAAGGGCACCACCAGGCGUGGGGUUUGCGGCUUAAUUCGACUCAACACGGGGAACCUUACCAGGUCCGGACUCCGUAAGGAUUGACAGACUGAUGGACCUUUCUUGAUCCUGAGGGUGGUGGUGCAUGGCCGUUCUUGGUUGGUGGAGCGAUCCGUCAGGUCAAUUCCGUUAACGAACGAGACCUCGACCCCCCAAAUAGUGACGCUCGACCUACCAAUACGGGGUUCGUCGGUUCGAGUUUUUUGGGACGGUUCGUUUCGGCGGGCCGUUCCGGAUCCUUGGGCCGGUGUCCUCGGUGGGACGUUCGUUUUACUUCUUAGAGGGACGGCUCGCGCUCAGCGAGAGGAAGCUUGAGGCAAUAACAGGUCUGUGAUGCCCUUUAGAUGUUCUGGACCGCACGCGCACCACACUGGCGGUGAGUCGAACGAGCGAGCUAAUUUCUAUUACAGGAACGAACCGUCAACGGACCGUUUACGGACCGUUAACGGAUCGUUGCGCCCCUUGGCCACGAAAGGUUUGGGGAAUCUCGAGUAACCGUCGUGCUCGGGCUAGAGCAUUGCAACUAUUGCUCUUCAACGAGGAAUGCCUAGUAGGCACGGGUCAUCAGCUCGUGCCGAUUACGU
RNAcentral lists this ribosomal RNA (2038 nucleotides) under Thecamoeba astrologa. Its description in RNAcentral is "partial small subunit ribosomal RNA". It matches the Rfam family "Eukaryotic small subunit ribosomal RNA", at positions 55 to 1650 of the family's 1831-position model. Lineage: Eukaryota; Discosea; Longamoebia; Thecamoebida. The record is from RNAcentral.